Molecule: long non-coding RNA, 201 nt
Filed under: Capsicum annuum
Lineage: Eukaryota; Viridiplantae; Streptophyta; Magnoliopsida; Solanales; Solanaceae
Description: long non-coding RNA (CANN_LNC004772)
Source: RNAcentral
AUAAUUUACACCAACUUCCCAACCUCGGUUGCCAUUGAGAUUAGAGUAUAAGUAAGGGAGAGACACAAAAGACCACAAAGCAUGGUGUCUCGACCCACAGGUAGUGCCCAAGAUCACUUAGCCCGGGCUCCUACGUAUAGUCCUAAUUUGGGAAUGACAUAAAGUCAAGUACACAAGAUCACUUAGCCUGGUACCAAAUUU